UACGUAGGCAGCGAGCGUUGUUCGGAAUUACUGGGCGUAAAGAGUGUGUAGGCGGUGCUCUAAGUUCGGUGUGAAAUCUCCCGGCUCAACUGGGAGGGUGCGCCGGAAACUGGAGUGCUUGAGCGUGGGAGAGGAAAGCGGAAUUCCUGGUGUAGCGGUGAAAUGCGUAGAUAUCAGGAGGAACACCUGUGGUGUAGACGGCUUUCUGGACCAUUGCUGACGCUGAGACACGAAAGCGUGGGUAGCAAACAGG
RNAcentral lists this ribosomal RNA (253 nucleotides) under uncultured bacterium. RNAcentral describes it as "partial 16S ribosomal RNA". It matches the Rfam family "Bacterial small subunit ribosomal RNA", at positions 524 to 776 of the family's 1533-position model. The record is from RNAcentral.